AGGGAUGGGAGUGCCGGGCCCCUGCGCAGUGGAGCCGCUUGUGCUGGUCGGCGCUGGAGCGAUGGGUUUGUAGGACAUUCCCAACUCUUCGGGAGGGUAGGCACCAGUCGAUUCUCCUCCGGAUUGGCCGAGUCGCUGAGGAGCGCGCGCUCUGAUAGGCGCACCGCCAGGAAGAGCCCGCGGCUCGCACUUGCGAUUGGUGGGGGCGCACGUCACUCGACGCUCCCAGGCCGCCUUCUCAUUGGCCAAGAGUCCCGGCCCGGACCUGCUGCUGAUUGGCCCUCGUCGCGUCGGGCUUCGCACCUGUCUGACCAGGAUUGGCGGGCGGAGGACGACGCCUGCGAUUGGAGGGUUCGGGGAGGCAGGCUAGCGCGCUCCCAGCCCGAUUGGCCCGGGAGGCAGGAGGGCGGGGCCGGCUGGCACCGGGAAAGGAGUCUCCGGUGUCGGGCCGCCUCGGCUCGCGCUGAAGGGUCCGUUCGACGAGGCUCGGCCGCACGCGCCCUGCUUCCGACCGCUUAUGCCGCACCGCUCGUGCUUCCUUCGGCGAGCUCGCGCCGCUGCCCGCGCCGCCUCCGGGGCCGAGCCGCCUCGCACUCUGGGGCAGCCGCCGGAGUCGCCGGAGACGCGCGCCGCCGCUCUCCCUCUUCGGACACUACUGGGCGCGAGGCUGUGACGUCAGGUCGCGCCCCGCCCCGACGCAGAAGCGUCAUCGCGCGCGGUCCCGCCCCUCCUGGCCCGCACGCCCUCGAGGCUCCACCCCGUCUCCGUGGCAACCGCCCCGCCGAACCGUCCUCUCUCGCCCUGGAGACCCCGUUUCCUUGGCUUCCUCAGAAGGCGCCCCUUCAGUGCUUCCCCGAGGCAAUGCUCUUCCUCGUCUACUUCUUGAAGACCCCUCCCCGGAGACGCCCCGCUUCAGGAAACCCCCAUCUCCUUGGACUCUCCCAGGGGACCCCCCCCCUCGGCUUACCCCCUAGGAGCCCCGCGUUCCCGCCUGGAGACACCGCACCCCUUCCAGGAGACCCUGCUUUUUGUCCCUUCCCAAGAGGCCCCCCUUUUCUCUCCCAGGAGGCUACCCCUCUUUGUCCCCCUGGAGAUGACCCCCUCCUCCUCCUCCUCCUCCAGAAGACCCUCCUCCUUUUCCCCCAGUGUACCCUUAUUUAUUUUCAAUCAGGUCCUCAUCCUUAUCCUUCCCCCGCCCCAGACUCUUUAUUCUCUUUAUUCUCCCUUGGAGAAUUCUUUAUCUCUCCCAGGAGAUCUUCCUCCUUUUCUCCCUAG
Molecule: long non-coding RNA, 1275 nt
Filed under: Phascolarctos cinereus (koala)
Lineage: Eukaryota; Metazoa; Chordata; Mammalia; Diprotodontia; Phascolarctidae
Description: lncRNA (ENSPCIG00000033041.1)
Source: RNAcentral